This 1266-nucleotide long non-coding RNA is filed under the name Lonchura striata (white-rumped munia). RNAcentral describes it as "domestica (Bengalese finch) lncRNA (ENSLSDG00000001459.1)". The record is from RNAcentral. Lineage: Eukaryota; Metazoa; Chordata; Aves; Passeriformes; Estrildidae.
UCCCAGCAGCUCAGAGGAGCAGAUCCAAUCUGUGAUCCACCUCUUCCAGAUCGGCACUGGGGGUAAAUCAGACCUGCCCCCCAUCGACGGCCCCACGGACAUGGACCGAGGUCCCAUCCUGCCGGUGCCGCUGGGAAUUCGGCCGGUGCUGAGCAGAUACAGAGUGGAGAUCUUGUUCUGGGGGCUCAGGGACCUGAAGAGAGUGAACCUGGCCCAGGUGGACCGGCCCCGUGUGGACAUCGAGUGUGCCGGGAAGGGUGUCCAGUCUGCCCUGAUCCAGAACUACAAGAAAAACCCCAACUUCAGCACUUUGGUCAAGUGGUUCGAGGUGGUGAGUGUGGCCCAACCCCUCUGAUCCCUCAGCUGGAACUUGGAAUUUCUGGAACGCACCACGGCUCUGAGCCCUUUACUCCAGGUUUCCCAAAACAAUGGAGCACAUGGACAGCACUCCUUCACCUGAGGGCUCCCAAGCCACAUUUUGCUGGAGCAGCUCUGGAAUUCUUCCUCCAGCAUGAUCCCAGUUCUAGUCCCUACUGCCCUUCCCAGUAUGAUCCCAUUCCUAAUCCCUACCCCCCCAGUGUGAUCCCAUUCCCAAUCCCCACUGCCCUUCCCAGCAUGAUCCCAUUCCCAAUCCCCGCUGCCAUUCCCAGCAUGAUUCCAUUCCUAAUCCCCAUUACCCUUCCCAGUGUGAUUCCAUUCUUAAUCCUCACUGGCCUUCCCAGUGUGAUCCCAUUCCCAAUCCCCACUGCCCUUCACAGCACGAUCCCAUUCCCAAUCCCUACUCUUUUUCCCAGCACGAUCCCAUUCCCAAUCCCCACUGCCCUUCUCAGCAUAAUCCCAUUCCCAAUCCCCAGUGCCCUUCCCACCAUAAUCCAUUCCCAAUCCCCACUGCCAUUCCCAACAUAAUCCCAUUCCCAAACCCCACUGCCCUUCCCACCAUAAUCCCAUUCCCAAUCCCCACUGCCAUUCCCAGCACAAUCCCAUUCCCAACCCCACUGCCAUUCCCAGCACGAUCCCAUUCCCAAUCCCCACUGCCCUUCCCGGUAUGAUCCCAUUCUUAAUCCCCACUGCCAUUCCCAUCAUGAUCCCAUUCCUAAUCCCUACUCCCCAGCACGAUCCCAUUCCCAAUCCCCACUGCCAUUCCCAGUAUGAUCCCAUUCCUAAUCCCUACUCCCCAGCAUAAUCCCAUUCCCAAUCCCCACUGCCAUUCCCAGCACAAUCCCAUUCCCAAUCCCCACUGCCCUUCCCAGCAUGAUCCCAUUCCCA